Molecule: long non-coding RNA, 2606 nt
Organism: Clupea harengus (Atlantic herring)
Lineage: Eukaryota; Metazoa; Chordata; Actinopteri; Clupeiformes; Clupeidae
Source: Ensembl
AUUCAUCUCAGCCUUCAUGGCAGUACUUGUCAUCAGUGUGGUGGGUUUUCGUGUCCCAAGGCGUGCUGAGUGGGUUCCCCACGUGCAUUCAAUAUUUGACCAGACCAUGGACCUGGUUGGCCAGAUAGUUGGAAAAGAGAACCUUCAAACUGCUGUAGAGUAGGUUUAUCACCAAGCAUUUCUUCAUUGUCCUCCGUGUUUCUGUAAGAGCAUAGUUUAAUGUCCUCUGUGUUUCUUUAAGAGCAUAGUUUAAUGUUGGAGCUGAAAGUACCAUUUCCAUUGGUAAUACAAUAAGGGAAUCAUACUGUGAUUUUUAAUUUUUAAUAUAAUUCAGGCCAAUGAUGUAAGCUCAAGUAGAGAUGUUCUUUUGACCUAUUUGUCUUAUUUUGUCUCCCAGUACAAAAACUGAAACAACAGUCCGUCUGGCCGACGCAACAGCUAAUCUUGCAGAGAAAAUUUUCAAAGCUCUCUUUACAAACUGUACGUGAUAUUGUAUAAUUCAUAAGUUAAGCAGGUAAUUAUUUUGUUCUUUUUUAAACGCCAUGGAAAACCCACAUGCAAAAGAGAAAUGAAUGAAUGGAUGAAUGAAUGAAUAAAUUAAUGUUGCAUUUGAUCAUAUAUGUGUGUUACAUUAAAUUAAAAUAUUUUUUGCCUAAAUGUCAUUUUAGAACGGCAUACUGUAUGUGACCUCACCAUCUGCGUGGAAUGAACACAUUGCUCAUUAGUCUUUUACGAAGUCCAACCAUUGUGAGGAGGCUAAACUGACCAAGAAUAAAAGGAGUUUUUUUCCCUCUUUACUACGUGUACUAAAAAUGAUCUGAUGGACUGCAUGGUGGCCAUUUUAGUUUGACUCUUGAAAUGUACCAUCCCACAUUCAAUCCCACAAGACAUUUGAAAUGUAUGAGUAUGAAGAAUUACACUGCCAUAGCUAAUUAAGUUAGACCAUGUACAGAAGAUGAUGUGGUACUGAGGUUAAGAAUCAAACCUUUAAAUACUGUGAAAUAUCAAUAAUAAUAAAUAUACUUAUAUAUUUUGUGAAUAUGCUAAAUCAGUUAUAUAUGGCAGUGUGUUUGGUAAAAUAUGAUAGAAAAUGUAUUAUCAAUAGAAAGUUAUCUGUGAUAUCUUCAGGUUACUGUGGAUGUACCUCUCAAAUUGAAAACCAAUUCAUGCAUUUAUCUGAUUCGUUGGUUCUUGAUAGAGUGGUAACAGUCAUGGAACACAGUUAUAACUGGCAGCAAAGAAGACAUUCCAUCAAAAUAGGCCUUUUACAGUUGGCUGGGAUUUGAGUGCACUUUACAUUGUUUGGUCUGAUCUAGUGCCAUACACCUAGUUUGCGGUUCACAGGGGAACAAGUUCAACAGCUUUGAUUGGAUGCCGUAAUCAGGUGAAUGACUUCACUGUAGCUUUCAAUAUUUGCAGUGUUGACCAACACCACACAUAGACACACAUUCAUGUACAAACAGACUAAGGGGAAAAUCUGACAUUCAGACAGGAUCUGUGGAAGACUGCUGGUUGUCAUCUCUGUAGCCAUGAAGAACGUUUUGGCUGUUGUUAUCAUCGCAGCUUUCGCACUGUGCGUCGAGAAUCUCCCCAUCUCAUCUGACUCCUCAGAGGAGGCAGUGGACCCUCUGGGAGCCGCCAUUAGCAGGCCUUUCUACGACCUCUGGGACCGCACUUUAGACAAGACGGCAGAAUCUCUGAGUAAAAAACUGCAGCAAUCUCUGGGAAUGAUGUUCAACAACCUGAGCUCCGCUUUUCUAUCUGUUAUUUUGGAACCAGUUCCCACUUCACCACCUCUCCUGUGAGGAUGCAAAACUGCAGAACUUGUUUGUUUUCCACAUGGACUUAAAAUAAAACCUGAUUCUGAAUGCGACUUUUGUUUCAUUUUUACAAAACAUUACUGGGCCAUUUGUUAACAUGUUAGUGUAUACUGAUAAAAUAAACCUCCCAGGUUAUUCCCCUGCAAUUGCCCCCUAAUCGCCAGUGUUUUUUUUAUUACGAUUUGAAAGACUGGUUCCCUUUCCCUUUGCCCCUUUCCACAAAACAUUGGGAGGCUAUUUUCAUGUCUAUGAUGCAAUAUCUAAGCACUGCUGAUAGUGUCACGAUUCGGGCCAGCGAUUGCCACGAAUUGGGACAUUGGCGGCCUCUGGUGGCCAAAGGACAAUAUAUGGCUGACUUAUUAUUAUGCACAUGUGCCUUUGUUUUCUUUGUGUGCCCUCACCUGGGGUACGUUCGUCGUAGGAUUGAAGCUAAGUUAAUCAAUUGGCCUUUUAGCCCGUUAAGAUUAGCGAGCUGAUUGAGAACAGCAAAUAUCGGUUCGUUAACGGCUGAUCCGCAUCCUAAUCAUGUGGUUAAUUUCAACCAGGCUAAAGUUAUCAUGGCAUUUGCGCGUGCACGUCCUACUUCAAAAGGCAGGAAAGGUCGAUCACCAAAACCAUGAUUUUCUAACGGUAUAAUGGUUCUAAACUCAAAGAAAAGGGCUCUUUUUCUCCGCUGGCGAGUAGGAGAUGAACAUGAACGCUUAUGAAGAAUACAAGACCAUAAUCAUGGCAAAAUUCAACACCACCACCGCUGUGAGAGCAAGGUGUGUUGGGAUGUUUAUAGAG